GCACAAGCGGUGGAGUUAUGUUGGUUUAAUUCGAUGCAACGACGAAGAACCUUACCUGGCCUUGACAUCCCGGUAAUUUCCUGGAAACAGGAGAGUGCUUUCAUUAGAGAGACCUGGAGACAGGUGCUGCAUGGCUGUCGUCAGCUCGUGUCGUGAGAUGUUGGGUUAAGUCCCGCAACGAGCGCAACCCUUGCCUUUAGUUGCCAGCAGUUCGGCUGGGCACUCUAAAAGGGACUGCCGGUGUCAAACCGGAGGAAGGUGGGGAUGACGUCAAGUCCUCAUGGCCUUUAUGACCAGGGCUACACACGUACUACAAUGGCCGGUACAAAGGGCAGCGACACAGCGAUGUGAAGCCAAUCCCGAAAAGCCGGUCUCAGUCCGGAUUGGAGUCUGCAACUCGACUCCAUGAAGUUGGAAUCGCUAGUAAUCGCGGAUCAGCACGCCGCGGUGAAUACGUUCCCGGGCCUU
This 468-nucleotide ribosomal RNA is filed under the name uncultured Desulfobulbus sp. RNAcentral's name for it is "bacterial SSU rRNA". It matches the Rfam family "Bacterial small subunit ribosomal RNA", at positions 923 to 1382 of the family's 1533-position model. The record is from RNAcentral. Lineage: Bacteria; Pseudomonadati; Thermodesulfobacteriota; Desulfobulbia; Desulfobulbales; Desulfobulbaceae.